This 1197-nucleotide long non-coding RNA is filed under the name Androctonus crassicauda. The record is from RNAcentral. Lineage: Eukaryota; Metazoa; Arthropoda; Arachnida; Scorpiones; Buthidae.
GGAACACCGACUGAUGAAAUGAUUAUAACAUUUGUAAUUUUGUAGUUUAAUUUAUAAAUAAAAGAAAUAAAAUUAUCUUUUCUUGAAUCUUAAUUUUCAAAUUAUGUCAAAGAAGUUUGAUAUAUAUUUCCCAAAGGAAAAGCGGCAAUUGACAGACCAUCCCAGGCGGCUGAAACUGUAAAUACAUCACUGAAACUCGAAUAAUAUCUUGACUGUACCAUAAUAAUGAUAAUAAUAAUAAUGCGACAUAUGAAGCCCCUUAAAACUAGAUGUUUCCGUGGCUGCCGAGUUCGCUCAUGCGUUAAAAUGCCAGUGCCCACUAAACCCCAUUCUUCAACCUUCCGGUUGACUCCAUCACCAGCUCUACCAGUGACGACCAGCCUACAAUGGACUCUAAAAGUGGCUGCCACCAAAAGCAUGACAUGUGCGAUUCAGAGACAUAAUUAAAACCUAACUAAUUAAUUAAUUAUAAAAUAUAAUUCAACAAUAAAAAUAGCAAUUGUAGGAUUUACAUGGGGUUUGGUUGUUUAGUUUAAUUACACCAACGAAUCUGCAAAAGCGAUACACAAAGUAUCAAUAAUUAUAGAACCUACUACAUUUUUGAAGGAGACUGGACUCUAUUUCCCAUAAUAAAUAUUCUGGAGAAGUGGAAGCCUAAAUCGAUGCCGGAUUGCAAUGUUCAGGUUGAAGUCUAAGUUUCAAGGUAGCCACCUGACAGAUAUUAUAGUAAUUUAUUCAUUGCCAAAUAAAUUUGAAACAAAACCACUUGUUACAUUAUUAAAUAAAAAGACAAUAAAUCGAAAAGUGGACUGAUUCAAAUAUCUCAUAAUUUUAUUCAGUUAAAGACAAUUGUCUUAAUAAUCAUAUAGAGAUGAAAGCUAAGCACUGCAAUUAUAAUUUCUAAAAAUAUUAUUGAGAUUUUGUUACCAAAUAUUGUAAUUGAUAUUGGUCUAUAGUGUCUGGCAACACAUUUUUGUAACCAUAUGUUUUUUUUUUUUUUUUUUGAUAUUAUACAAAUAAUUCUUAGCCAUAACUACCAAUCAUCGGCGGCCGGAUGGCCGACGGGUUCGGGUCCCGGGUCUGGUAACUCCUGAAAAGUUUUUUCGGGCUGCUGGGCCCGUGCCGGCCAUCCCCGUCCUUCACCAUCCAGCCCCCAUCCAUAGGUGUGGGUGCAGCCCGUGAUUGGAACUGGCCCUG